AUUGAACGCUGGCGGCAUGCCUUACACAUGCAAGUCGAACGGUAACGCGGGGCAACCUGGCGACGAGUGGCGAACGGGUGAGUAAUGCAUCGGAACGUGCCCAGUAGUGGGGGAUAGCCCGGCGAAAGCCGGAUUAAUACCGCAUACGACCUACGGGUGAAAGGGGGGGAUCGCAAGACCUCUCGCUAUUGGAGCGGCCGAUGUCAGAUUAGGUAGUUGGUGGGGUAAAGGCCUACCAAGCCUACGAUCUGUAGCUGGUCUGAGAGGACGAACAGCAACACUGGGACUGAGACGCGGCCCAGACGCCUACGGGAGGCAGCAGUGGGGAAUUUUGGACAAUGGGCGCAAGCCUGAUCCAGCCAUGCCGCGUGCGGGAAGAAGGCCUUCGGGUUGUAAACCGCUUUUGUCGGGGAAGAAAUCUUCUGAGUUAAUACCUCGGGAGGAUGACGGUACCCGAAGAAUAAGCACCGGCUAACUACGUGCCAGCCGCCGCCGUAA
Molecule: ribosomal RNA, 498 nt
Filed under: uncultured bacterium
Lineage: Bacteria
Description: partial 16S ribosomal RNA
Rfam family: Bacterial small subunit ribosomal RNA
Source: RNAcentral